This 253-nucleotide ribosomal RNA is filed under the name uncultured bacterium. RNAcentral's name for it is "partial 16S ribosomal RNA". It matches the Rfam family "Bacterial small subunit ribosomal RNA", at positions 524 to 776 of the family's 1533-position model. The record is from RNAcentral.
UACGAAGGGGGCUAGCGUUGCUCGGAAUCACUGGGCGUAAAGCGCACGUAGGCGGACUCUUAAGUCGGUGGUGAAAUCCUGGAGCUCAACUCCAGAACUGCCUUCGAUACUGGCGAUCUCGAGUUCGGGAGAGGUGAGUGGAACUGCGAGUGUAGAGGUGAAAUUCGUAGAUAUUAGGAAGAACACCGGUGGCGAAGGCGGCCCACUGGUCCGGUACUGACGCUGAGGUGCGAAAGCGUGGGGAGCAAACAGG